UCGUCGGCGCUGAGACUCAGAGCGUGGGCUUCAAUGCUUGCAAAGGCUCAGUUUCAAGAAGAGAAAGAAAAGAAGGAAAGAAAGCAAGAAAGCAAGAAAGAGAAAGAAAGAAAGCAAGCAAGCAAGAAAGAAAGAAAGAAAGAAAGAAAGAAAGAAAGAAAGAAAGAAAGAAAGAAAGAAAAGAAGAGCCUUAAGGUGGACCUACAAACUACAGAGUUCCUAAGUUCUCUUUUUUCUCUAUUUUCUUUUCUGCCUGCUUUAAAUCUGCUGUUAUUUUUCUAUUAAGAUCAAAACCACUGUUUGGAUACAACAGUUUUUUUGCUUGCAAGCUGGUGAAUUUGUAUUUGUCUCAUGGCUAAAGUUCUGAAGUAAAAGCUAUAGGAUGUGUGUGUGUGUGUGUGUGUGUGUGUGUGUGUGUGUGUAUUUAAAAGGCCUUUAUAAUUUUUAUAAUUUUAUGUUUAUUUGGCAAUGAAGUCCAUUUUAAUUUCCCUCUAGCACCACCAGACUUUUUCUCUCUGUACCUUAAGACAUAAAUUUUGCUCUUUGAUUUUUGCCUGAGUUGUUUCCUUUAAUAUGCAAACUUAAAGCCAUUUAGCUGACAACUUCCUAGGGGAUUAAAACAGGUUAUUGAGAAUUUGAAAGUCUAAGAUAGUGGAAAAAUCUUCUUAUGAAUCUAUAAGAUGUACUUCUAUCAACAUGCCUACUAGGUCUAUGUAUUUAUGUGUUGUGUACACAAUGUCUCACUACUGAAAAUAUAUAAAAGGGCUCUAAUUAAUUGGCUUAAGAAAAAAAGCACUUAAAUCAAAUACUUAUUAGGAAAAAAGAAAAGACUAGUUGAAUGCUUUCUCAAGUUUAUGUAACUUAAGUAAAAUCUUUAAUAAAUAAGCUACUUUUAAAAUGAUUGGUAAAGUAAUAUUAGACAUGUCUUAAGAAUUGCCAGCAUGCAUUUUGUUUGCAUUUAUUAAUCAAGCAAUUUCAUGUUUAUCCCUGUCAAAUACUAUAAGGUGUCAAAAUUUGGCAUGGGGUUACAAAACUGUGAUAGAAUGAUCUUUGCUUGUGUAAUCUUUAAUAAAUAAGACAUUGAUACUGGUUUAAUAAAAAUAGCCACAUCUUGAAUUUAGUCAGAUUACCAUAACUUCUAAUCUUGUGGCUUUUAGUGGUCUAGUCCACAGGCAGUAAUAUUUACUUUGGGAAUGAAAUAUUAUAAUCUUUGUUUCAAAGGUAAACUAUAAACUAUUUUCCUCUCAAAGUCUGUUCAGCCUGUGCUGGUAAGAAAGCUUAAAGAGAAAUAAUUUCAUAUGAGAAAGAAUCUUGUAUGGUAAAUUUAGACCUAAAAUAAAAUGACUGAUUGUUUAAGAAAGAUGGAUGUUCAAAACAAACUAGAUAGUCCAAGCAUAUCAUGAACAGUCUCUAUAAGUCAUAAGAGGAUUUAUUUUAAAAAAAUACCAAAAAACUUUUAUAUGAUUGAGUUGUCUAUAAUUAAAGGGAAAUUAUAAUGGUCUUCCUGAAGAUUGGGCUUCAUGCUAAAAAAAACACUUAUAGACUAAAUAAUUAGUUACAGCGAUGAAAUUUUCUUAAGGGAUUGAUUUACUCUUAAUAAAUUAUAAGAGAUUUUAAUUUUUUAACCCAAAGUUCAACUAUUUACUUGCUGUUUUCUCUCCCCUUCAACUUGUUUUCAGCUCAUAUAAGUUAUUUUCCUUAAGUUCUGUUUGUUGUGGCCUGAUGCUAACAAUGUUUUCUAAAAGUCUAAAGGAAAUGUUUUCUUCCAAAGUAAUACUCUGUGCAGUGUAGAAGGUCUUUUCUUUUGCCUUUUGGUAAUUGACCUAACAGAUUUUAUGGCUUAUUGAAACAAUUCCUAUGCCAUUAUUAUUAAUUUUUGGUUUGCUUAGGAAAAAGAAACUGAGACAAUUUUUUUAAAAAAUUAACGUUAUUACAUCCAUGUAUAUUUCUGUGUGCACUUUGAAAGUACCUGUGACAUUGAGUUACCGGCCUUUAACUCCUGGAUCUAAAAAGGAGACCAAGAUCUGCUAAAUCUUAAACACUGACAGCAAUUAAAACCUCAUCUUCAGGCCUGGUAGAAGAUGCCUAUCAAAAUAAGCUGCAUUUCUGAGACAUAAGGCCAUAAAUCAAAGCUAUUCAACUCUUCAAGACUCAGGAACAAUCACAGAAGAGGUUUCUAAUAACUCUGGAGAUUGUGACAUCACAAUGAAGGAAAAGCUUUCAGGACUCAUGGAGACCUGAAAUGUUCAUGAAUAGCAAGCAGAACAGGAAUUAACUGCAUGAACUGAACUAACAGAAGACUGAAGUAAUCUUUUUGACUUUUUGCUUAAAACAUUGCUGACCCUUUAUUUUGUUUUUUUCAGUCAAGGAAACUUUUCUUUUGAGCUGUUGUCAGCUUUUAACAAGUUAGUAUACUCCUGUGAAAAAUAUUUGGAGCAUAUUUGUUUCUCUCUACCUGAUUUUCCCUAGAAUUGGAAACUAUCUGUGAGUAUUCUUAACUUAUGGCAAUACAGUUAUUUGCGUAAGUGCAAUAAGAAUCUGUUUUCAUUUGUAACAGGACACGAUAAAUUGGUCAUUUUACCAAGGCUUUUACUUGAAUGGUGUGCUCUUCUUUGAGGAAUCAAACUUGACUUAUGGAGCCAAUAAAAGCCCCUUGGGAGAACUGGCCUCAUACCUUAUCUACACAGUCCCUGUACAGGGUUCCUGACCUGUGGUAAGUAAAGCAUGUCACUUUCUAACAGUUCCAGGAGCCCCAAGUUUAUCUUGGAACCUCAAGAGGAGAGGAAUUCACCCAACUCAUAGGUAUUUGAUGGUACAAAUCCAUGGCUAGGCUAAGCUUUCCAAAAGUCUUAUCCGAAAUUCCUUCUAUGGAACAAAGUUCUGAUAGGGCCAGGGGACAGAGAAAUUCUAGGCAGAAAAGGAUAGGUCUCUGACAAAACCCCACCUUCAAGCUGAAAAGCCUUAAACCAUGGCCCAAAGUGACAACUUAUAUCCCUGUUUUCCUGCUUGAAAGUUGCCUUUUUCUAAACCACUCAUGGCCCCAUCCUGUCCCAUCCUGUGCCUGUGAAGAUCUCAGACUGAGCUGGCAGAGGCAAGAAGCAGCUGGAUGUUGGGGACUACAGCCGGACAUCAGAGAGAAGCAGCUUGACUGCAGAGGGACAGCUUGAUGGUGUAACCUUGGAGAAGAAUCCGGCUGGAUACAGCCUAACUUUGAGGAAGAUUACCUACCCACCCCAUCCUUUUUCAGCUCCCUUCCUGCUAAGAGCCACUUUCAUCAGCAACAAAAUCCCCCACAUUUACCAUCCUUUGAUUGGUUCAUGUGACCUCACCUUUCCUGGACACCCGACAAGAGCUUGGGAGCCAGGAGAGCAGAUACAAAAGGCUGUCACACUGGCCUUCUGCUCUUGCUGUUGGAGGGCAGCUGCCUCAUGCAAAAAGGCAGAGGGCUCACUGAGCUGUUGACACUUAAGCCAUCCAUGGAAGGCAGAGUUAAAAGAGCACUGUAACAUGACUUCUGGGGCUAUGGGAGUUGCAGGCACCUCCACCUAGAUGCUGCUGUGGGGCCCGCACAGAGUUUGCUCCUGCCAGCACCCAAAAGCACUCACUCUGGCUCCUGCACCCAUUCACCUGCAUGCUUCCUUCCAUGAGCAGGGGACUGCAGCAGGUCCAAGUGAGUGAAGUUUGAUCCUGCAGCACUGAAGUGCUGAUUCCAGCACUCAUGCACUCCAGUUCCUGCCUCAUUUGCUUGCAUGCUCUCUCCUGCAAGGAGGUGAGAGUGGCAGGCUGAAUAAAUGAGGCCCUGUCACAAGUCCCACAGAAGGGUCAGGGAAACAUCCUGCUUCGCUUCCAUCAAAGAGAAUUUAAAAGCUUAUGCAAAAAAAUUAUUACUAUUACUAUGACUGUGCUGUAUACAAUAAUCAGGUCAAGUAUAAUAAAGCAAAUCAGCUCUGCCAUGAUUUGUCUUUAGUAAAAAUGGUAAAUGGGAGAGAGAAGAAUUGUUUCAAAAAAUGAUAGUACACCUGUUGUUAGAUUCUAGUCUUGCCUAAUGUUUUUCCAUUUUUAUUAAUUUUUACAGUUUGGACUGAAUUCUAAUUUUUCUUGGCUACAGGUCUUCAAAAGAUUGUCUUCAGUUUUUUUCUUCUUCUUCUUUCCACCAUUUUUCCUAAUUUGGAGUCACCGAAAACUCAUCUGUGCUUUUAUAAAGCCCUGUGAACUGCAGCUAUAAGAUUUAAACUUCAGAAGAAAAUAUUAGCAACCUUUUCACAUACGUGAGCCUCUUUCAUACCUGCCUACUGAUAUAUGGACUUCCGAGUAAUGUGGCCCAUAUUGAUUUUCCAGGAUUGUUCUUUUGUUUAUUUUUGUUUUUCUCCCUUCCUUUCCCUAUUUUCUCUUCAUAGGACAUGAAACUUCACAACCUGCUAAAAAUGAACUUUCCUAAUAACUCAGGAAUUAUCUUUCUAGGAAUAAACAAUCCUAGCCAUGAGAUAUCAGAUGAAACUUGAGACCAAAGACUGACUUUCUUCUAAAAUGCUUUCUCAAAAAGAUUUUUAAGAAGAAAUGGGCGGAAAUGUGAAAGGAAAAUAAACCUUGGGGCCCUGAAAUCACUAAGGUAAAGGGGAAAGUCAAGCUGGGAACUGCUUAGGGCAAACCUGCCUCCCGUUCUAUUCACAGUCACCCCUCUGCUCACAGAGAUAAAUGCAUAUCUGAUUGCCUCCUUUGGAAAGGCUAAUCAGAAACUCUGAAGAAAGCAACCAUUUUUCUCUUAUCUACCUAUGACCUGGAAGCCCCUCCCCACUUAGAGUUGUCCCGGCCUUUUCCGGACGGAACCACUGUUCAUCUUACAUAUGUUGAUUGAUGUCUCAUGUCUCCCUAAAAUGUAUAAAACCAAGCUGUGCUCUGACCACUUUGGGCACCUGUCUUCAGAACCUCCUGAGGCUGUGUCACAGGUGUACAUCCCCAACCUUGGCAAAAUAAACUUUCUAAAUAAACUGAGACCUGUCUCCGAUUUUGCGGGUUCAGAAGGCUAUACUGAAUUGUCCCCUGUGUGAAGCCCAGCAGGAGCCUUUCACAGCAGGUUCUUUUCACUUGAACCUUUGUGCAUCAGCACCUAACUCUUUCGCAAGAUAAGGGGUCCUACGGAAUACCAGCAGACCCACCAGAGGGUUACAAAUUCCUGAUACCUAGUACAACCUGGGAAAGAGAGCAAAAGCCCUUUAUUCCUGAUGUAGCUUCCCCAAUCUCUAGCCAAUUUGCACCAAAAGCCCAAGAAACUCCUAACUACAAAUUCCUUCCAGGGGUGGGGUGUGUGGGAGGGUGGGCAGGGACUUCUCUGGGGUCCUGCAUGCACAGCUAGGCUCAAGGUUCAGCUUAUAGUAACCUUUUCCUCAUUUU
RNAcentral lists this long non-coding RNA (5391 nucleotides) under Homo sapiens (human). RNAcentral's name for it is "HSALNT0240603". Lineage: Eukaryota; Metazoa; Chordata; Mammalia; Primates; Hominidae. The record is from RNAcentral.